AGAGUUUGAUCAUGGCUCAGAUUGAACGCUGGCGGCAUGCCUUACACAUGCAAGUCGAACGCGAAAGCGGAGCAAUCCGUUAGUAGAGUGGCGAACGGGUGAGUAAUGCAUCGGAACGUGCCCAGUAGCGGGGGAUAACCAGUCGAAAGACUGGCUAAUACCGCAUACGACCUAAGGGUGAAAGCGGGGGAUCGUAAGACCUCGCACUAUUGGAGCGGCCGAUGCCGGAUUAGCUAGUUGGUGAGGUAAAAGCUCACCAAGGCGACGAUCCGUAGCUGGUCUGAGAGGACGACCAGCCACACUGGAACUGAGACACGGUCCAGACUCCUACGGGAGGCAGCAGUGGGGAAUUUUGGACAAUGGGGGAAACCCUGAUCCAGCCAUGCCGCGUGAGUGAAGAAGGCCUUCGGGUUGUAAAGCUCUUUCGGCAGGAACGAAAUGGUCCGUGUUAAUAACUCGGACCGAUGACGGUACCUGAAGAAGAAGCACCGGCUAACUACGUGCCAGCAGCCGCGGUAAUACGUAGGGUGCAGGCGUUAAUCGGAAUUACUGGGCGUAAAGCGUGCGCAGGCGGUUUGUUAAGACAGAUGUGAAAUCCCCGGGCUUAACCUGGGAACUGCGUUUGUUACUGGCAGACUUGAGUGUGGCAGAGGGGGGUAGAAUUCCACGUAGCAGUGAAAUGCGUAGAUAUGUGGAGGAAUACCAAUGGCGAAGGCAGCCCCCUGGGUUAACACUGACGCUCAUGCACGAAAGCGUGGGGAGCAAACAGGAUUAGAUACCCUAGUAGUCC
RNAcentral lists this ribosomal RNA (790 nucleotides) under uncultured bacterium. RNAcentral describes it as "bacterial SSU rRNA". It matches the Rfam family "Bacterial small subunit ribosomal RNA", at positions 8 to 796 of the family's 1533-position model. The record is from RNAcentral.